UCCCUCCUGUGGUCAAUAGGUGUAUCCGCAUUAAUGAAAUAAACACGCACAGGGUGGACGCACAGUCAGUCGAGUGAACACUGAAUACAGAUUAAGGGGAUUUCUAUGAUAUUCCAGGAUAUUUUACAACACAUUUGACUUUGUGAUUGUCUCGGCCAGCAGAAGAUCGAGAUCAGCUUUAACCUGAUGGAGUAAAACAGGUGAACUGGAAAGCUCAUGUAAACACUGGCAGCGAUGAAUGGACAAUCCUCCGAGACUCUGGUAAUGAAGAUGUAAAGCUCUGAGUCUCUGGAUGGUUCAGGAUGGAUGAGUCUCUGGCUUCUACAGACCUGUGAUGACCAUUCAUUUCCAGCACAGGUUAAACCACAGUCAAACUUCAUGAGGACUGAUCAUUCAUCAUGCAUUUACGGAUGUGUCGGUUAAACGGUUUUGGUGUUGUCGUGGCAACAGGCGACCGUCAUGAAGCUGAGACGCAUACGCCGCCUAGUGGACCUGAUGGAGAACUGCGUUUGCUGGCAAUACUCCAUUACUUUGUGCUCUGGGCAAAAUCAUUUGACGAGACAUAAGUGUGAGAAUUGGAGAUUCAUAUUCAUAAAUUGGCAUCUAAUCAAACUAAUCUCUGAUUUAUUUAUUCAGGAGCAGAAUCAUGUUGAGUGAACGCAUCAAAACUGGACAAAAUAUCUUCUAGUACUCUUUUAAUGUGUCUUCGUGUCAAGUUUGUUUCACUUUUGUCUUUGAUGAUGUUAAUCACUUGGUUGACUAAUUUAAGUUGCUGAAUCACUGUUGGCAGAUUUAAGCAGCAUUUGUAGUAAACUUUGACUGAUUACUGAAUGCAUACGACAUGUUUCGACAAAUAAAGUCUGUUAUAUAAUGAAUAUUAAUCAUUUGUUUGCGUUUAUAACAUCAGCUUUAUUUAUUACAGAAAGAUGCAUUAGGGUCAGAUCAGUGUUUCAGCUCCAUCUUGUGGACAAUAAGUGGAUCUGCAUUAAUACUUGAAACUGAAUUACUAAGACAUUUUUUCCAUUAGGAGAAAUCCUGAUCCUGAAGAUCCACUUUCCAGAGUGAAGCUCCAACCUGAUGAAAACACCUGAGGCUUUUAAUUAAGGACUUUCAGCAAACGAGAAGCUUCAAGGCAAAUGUGUGACAAACUCUGUAAUUCAGAUGAUGAUAAUAAAAGAUUGAUUUGACUAAACUGAUGAUGCUUUUACAAAUCGUGUAUGUGUUUCACUGUGAGUUUGAGUUAAUAAAAAGUGAUUUAAAAGUA
Molecule: non-coding RNA, 1264 nt
Organism: Danio rerio (zebrafish)
Lineage: Eukaryota; Metazoa; Chordata; Actinopteri; Cypriniformes; Danionidae
Source: RefSeq, a predicted model, not a curated record